CAAUAGUGGAAACCAGCUACCACUGAAAAAACGGGGCGACACCGAAAAGCCAAAUGAGUAGGAAGUUU
Flavobacteriaceae bacterium CG2_30_34_30 is the source of this 68-nucleotide non-coding RNA. Lineage: Bacteria; Pseudomonadati; Bacteroidota; Flavobacteriia; Flavobacteriales; Flavobacteriaceae. The record is from Rfam.